This 247-nucleotide ribosomal RNA is filed under the name uncultured bacterium. Its description in RNAcentral is "partial 16S ribosomal RNA". It matches the Rfam family "Bacterial small subunit ribosomal RNA", at positions 523 to 769 of the family's 1533-position model. The record is from RNAcentral.
AUACAGAGGGUGCAAGCGUUAAUCGGAUUUACUGGGCGUAAAGGGCGCGUAGGCGGUAAGAAGAGUGUGUUGUGAAAGCCCCGGGCUUAACCUGGGAAGUGCAAUGCAAACGUUCUAACUAGAGUAUAUGAGAGGGUGGCGGAAUUUCCGGUGUAGCGGUGAAAUGCGUAGAGAUCGGAAGGAACGUCAAUGGCGAAGGCAGCCACCUGGCAUAAUACUGACGCUGAGGCGCGAAAGCGUGGGGAGC